Molecule: ribosomal RNA, 460 nt
Filed under: uncultured bacterium
Lineage: Bacteria
Description: partial 16S ribosomal RNA
Rfam family: Bacterial small subunit ribosomal RNA
Source: RNAcentral
CCUACGGGUGGCAGCAGUGAGGAAUAUUGGUCAAUGGUCGGGAGACUGAACCAGCCAAGCCGCGUGAGGGAGGAAGGUACAGAGUAUCGUAAACCUCUUUUGUCAGGGAACAAAGACUGGGACGCGUCCCCGGAUGCGUGUACCUGAAGAAAAAGCAUCGGCUAACUCCGUGCCAGCAGCCGCGGUAAUACGGAGGAUGCGAGCGUUAUCCGGCUUUACUGGGUGUAAGGGGCGUGUAGGCGGGCAUGCAAGCAAGAAGUGAAAUCUGGGGGCUUAACCCCCAAACUGCUUUUGGAACUGCGGGUCUUGAGUGAUGGAGAGGCAGGCGGAAUUCCCAGUGUAGCGGUGAAAUGCGUAGAUAUUGGGAGGAACACCAGUGGCGAAGGCGGCCUGCUGGACAGUAACUGACGCUGAGGCGCGAAAGCGUGGGGAGCAAACAGGAUUAGAUACCCGGGUAGUC